Molecule: non-coding RNA, 80 nt
Organism: Russula earlei
Lineage: Eukaryota; Fungi; Basidiomycota; Agaricomycetes; Russulales; Russulaceae
Source: the annotation of a GenBank genome assembly
GCAUUGUUGGGGUAGUGGUAACCUGGAUCGUUGCCAAUUACCACUUCGAUCCGCCCCGGGUUCAAUUCCCGGACAAUGCA